RNAcentral lists this transfer RNA (61 nucleotides) under Heterocephalus glaber (naked mole-rat). It matches the Rfam family "tRNA", at positions 6 to 65 of the family's 71-position model. Rfam says of the family: Transfer RNA (tRNA) molecules are approximately 80 nucleotides in length. Their secondary structure includes four short double-helical elements and three loops (D, anti-codon, and T loops). The record is from Rfam by way of RNAcentral. Lineage: Eukaryota; Metazoa; Chordata; Mammalia; Rodentia; Bathyergidae.
UGUAGCUCAGUGGCAGAGCACCUGCCUAGCAUGCCUGAGGUCCUGGGUUCCAUCCCCAGCA